GAGUUUGAUCGUGGCUCAGAUUGAACGCUGGCGGCAUGCCUUACACAUGCAAGUCGAACGGCAGCAUGAUCUAGCUUGCUAGAUUGAUGGCGAGUGGCGAACGGGUGAGUAAUACAUCGGAACGUGCCCUGUAGUGGGGGAUAACUAGUCGAAAGAUUAGCUAAUACCGCAUACGACCUGAGGGUGAGAGUGGGGGACCGCAAGGCCUCAUGCUAUAGGAGCGGCCGAUGUCUGAUUAGCUAGUUGGUGGGGUAAAGGCCCACCAAGGCGACGAUCAGUAGCUGGUCUGAGAGGACGAUCAGCCACACUGGGACUGAGACACGGCCCAGACUCCUACGGGAGGCAGCAGUGGGGAAUUUUGGACAAUGGGGGCAACCCUGAUCCAGCAAUGCCGCGUGUGUGAAGAAGG
This 409-nucleotide ribosomal RNA is filed under the name uncultured microorganism. RNAcentral's name for it is "bacterial SSU rRNA". It matches the Rfam family "Bacterial small subunit ribosomal RNA", at positions 9 to 414 of the family's 1533-position model. The record is from RNAcentral.